Non-coding RNA from Rattus norvegicus (Norway rat), 63 nucleotides. The record is from Rfam. NCBI's taxonomy places the organism in Eukaryota, Metazoa, Chordata, Mammalia, Rodentia, Muridae.
GGGGAUUUAGCUCAGUGAUAGAGCGCUUGCCUAGCAAGCGCAAGGCCCUGAGUUCAGUCCCCA